GACGAACGCUGGCGGCGUGCUUAACACAUGCAAGUCGAACGGAAAGGCCCUGCGUUUGUGGGCUGCCCGAGUGGCGAACGGGGGAGUAAGACGUGAGUAACCUGCCCUUGACUUUGGGAUAACUUCAGGAAACUGGGGCUAAUACCGGAUAGGAUCUCCUGCUCCAGGGUGGGCGUGGGAAAGUUUCGGCGGUUGGGGAUGGAUGCGCGGCUUAUGAGCUAGUUGGUGGGGUAGGUGCUGACCAAGGCUUUGACGGGUAGCCGGCCUGAGAGGGUGACCGGCGACCUUGGGACUGAGAGACGGCGCAGACUCCUACGGGAGGCAGCAGUGGCAAAUAUUGCACAAUGGGCGGAAGCCUGAUGCGGCAACGCCGGGUGCGGGAUGACGUCCUUCGGGUUGUAAACCGCAUUCGCCUGUGACGAAGCGUGAGUGACGGUAAUGGGUAAAGAAGCACCGGCUAACUACGUG
RNAcentral lists this ribosomal RNA (468 nucleotides) under uncultured bacterium. RNAcentral describes it as "partial 16S ribosomal RNA". It matches the Rfam family "Bacterial small subunit ribosomal RNA", at positions 28 to 507 of the family's 1533-position model. The record is from RNAcentral.